RNAcentral lists this long non-coding RNA (3276 nucleotides) under Coffea arabica (coffee). RNAcentral describes it as "long non-coding RNA (CARA_LNC000255)". Lineage: Eukaryota; Viridiplantae; Streptophyta; Magnoliopsida; Gentianales; Rubiaceae. The record is from RNAcentral.
GGAAAAGAGACAAGAAAACUCCAUUUUUACACCUUGAGUUCUUGGUUGAAUCUUUGAAGUUUCACUCAAAGUUGCAAACUACUCCAUAAAAAGUGACCACAAGGAAGGAUUAAGGGCUUUGGUGGAGAGGUUUGGAGAGAGAAGAAGCUUUUGGCUGCACUUGUUCAUAAGGUUUUAAGGUAACCAUAUCAAGAAAACCACCACUUCUUUUAUUACUUGCACAUGAGUGGAUUUAAAGUUGAUCUUGGUAGAUUUCAUGGAAAAUUUCAUGGUUAGUGUAGUGAAUCAAAAUUUCCAGCUUUAGUUGAGGAAUUUCAGUUUUAAUAUACUAAGAUCAGGUUUUCAAUGAAUUAUUAGCCUUUCCAUGUGAUUUUUCCAGCUUUUAUAUGUGUUAUUAGCUUCCUUAUAGAAAUUCCAGCUUGUAGAGGGGGAAUUGCAGCAUAGGAUUUGUGUUUUUCAACCUUGGCAUGAUGUUAUAUAUGAGCUGGAUAAUUGUCUAUUUUGGAAGGUUUUAUGGUUUGAAAUAAGUAGCUUUUAUAGCCUAUAAUUUGUCGUCUUGAUUUGGAUGGAUUUGCCAUGAGGUUGUGUGUUGAAUUUGGAGGAAAGUUGAGGACAAAACAAGGGUGAUGCUGUCCGAAUUUUGGGACAGUUUGCUACCUUUACUUAUGGAUGUUUUCAUGAUAAACUCGCUUAAGAUACUUGGUAAACCUAUAAGCUUUACUUAUAUGUUGAAUUUUGGUUGAAACAGAAGGGUUUUCAUUGGUUUUUUUUUUUUUUUCCAAAUUGCUGGCUGAGAUUGUGCUUGUUGGCCGAGUGAUAGUGCAGCCUGUUUACCCUGUUGUUUUCCCGACCUUUUCAUAAUUGGUUUUGGCCAAAACUUGUUCCAAACAUUCGUUAGGACUUUGGUAUGUGAAUUUGAGUGAAAACCACGAAAGUUGGAAGGUGAAAAACCUAAGGAUUUUGCUUGUUUCAUGGCUGCGAAAUUUCUGGUUGGAAUGGCAGAUUUGUAUUUUACUGCCUUUUAGCCUCAAAGUCUUUAGUUUUGGAAGUCUUUGGACAUAAUCUUGCUGACUUUACUUGCUAAAACCUUAAACAACAAUUGUAUGUUGAAUUGGAGUGGAAAGUGAAAGGGUUUAAGAGGUGAACUACCUUGUUUUCUUCAUUGUUUUGUUGCUCGAAAUUUCUGUAGGAGCUCUGCAUAGCUUUGGGAAAUUGGUUAUAACUUUGUGUAGAAAAGUCAAAAUUGAGUUCUAUUUAUUGCGUUUGAAACUAGAUUCAGAGUACUUUCUACUGUGAAAAUUUUAGAAUUUUUCUGAAUUCUUAUAAAUAUAUGUGAUUUUCCAAAUUUUACUGAAUUUUCACAAUUGCUCUGUCUUUCUACUGGAUGAAGCAGCAAAUUGAGGUUGGAAUUUGACUAACUUGUGGAUAGAAUCUUAAAAAUGUGUCUUCUGGGAAAUUAUAAUCCUUUGAAUCUAUUUUCCAAUAGUAUAAAGUUUAUAAAUUUUGGACUUAAGAAGAUUGAGAUAUGAUUUUUCAAAUAGCAUCGCGCAAUUCUUCAAAAGUUGUUCUUGCUUUCAUUUCCAACUUCAAGUUGGAGUUGUAAGAACCAUUUUGUACUUGGUUUUAUGAUUGGAAUUGAGAUAACUUGGCUAGUUGGAAGUGUUUUCCUUUGAAUAUAGUAGCUUGGAGUAGUGGAACUCAUGGCACUUUACAUACUUGAUUUUUAGACUUGAAGGUGAGACGGAAGUGCUCGUGAGGCAAACACUUAAGUUGGUUGCCAUGGUGAGUGUUCCAACUGCAUGUUUCGUGCUCGCUCAUUGUUGCAUGUACUAGCAAUUUGAUUUACAAAUAACCUGUAUCUGGACUUGAAAUGCUUGAAAACAUGGUAUGUUGAGCUUACUUGUGACUUGAUCCUGUCUAGGCAAGUGUGCUCUUAUGUACACUCAAUCUCUGUGAACUUGAAUUACAUGAUCUUGCAUGUGAAUUUGCAUGUAUACGUGUGUGCAAAUGUAGGCCGACUGUAUUUCUCUUACAGCGGUUAUACAUACAUGAUUUGUAGGCCGGUUGUAUUUUUCUUACAACGGUUGAACUAGGCCCUUGGACCCUUAUCCGAAACGUCGUAUAAGUGAAAACUUGGAUUACUCAUGCGUAUGCGUGAAUGUAGGUCGGUAACGGCUGAAUUGAGCUCUUGUUUGACCUCUUGCUUUAGACGCAGCUUCAGAGCGGUCUGGUAAGUUGGGUAACCUUGGGCAAAGGACAAGUUCUUAACCUGUUUACUCCUGACUGGAAUUCAUGAUUUGAACUCUGAUAUUUCUUAAUACGGAACAUUAAAUGACAACUAACGUCUCCAAUUAUUAACUGCGUGAGCGUUGGAUAAUAACCAACGACUCCACUCGUGAAUACCUGAAUACUUGGGCUAUAAGUCAGAUCUUGAAUACCUGAAUAUCUAGGGCUAUAAGCCUAAUCCCAUGGCUAGUUGAUCAAAUUGAGCCGGUAAGAGGUUGGUCGAGGAGAUUGACAAACCAUAGGUACUUUUGGUGUUCGGGCCCGGUAAGGGGAUAUCGGUUGACGGAGAUUGACGUUUAGUGGUGAUCUACGGAUAUUAUAAUUUCUUGGUUGACGGAGAGUCAAUGGACCCCGCACAAGCAGCUGUGGAACCUGUUCCUGAGAGCAGCCUAUAUUUUUUUUUGAUAUAAAUGCAUUCUUUAACGUAUAUUAAUGCAUGAUCUACCUGGUUACUUGAUUACUAAGCCAUAUGUCACGGUCUGCUUGAGUAUGACUUGUUUUUCGAUAUCCUGUGAAUAGUAUCAUGUAUGCAAGUUUACUUGCCUGUUUUCUUGGAAUCUCACUGGAUUUUUAGCUCAUUUUAUGAAUUUUUUUUCCUUACAGGGAUAAGGACAUGAGAGAUUGAAUUGGGAAAGGCCUAGAUUUCAUCAAAGUUUGUUAGUUGCUCAUGCGAGUACUCCAUAGAUGUCUAGCUCGCUUGUUUGGUUUGAUUUUUUGUAAAUUUGACUCCUUGGCUAUAUUUAUAGACUGUGUGGGCUUUGCAGGUCCAUGAGCGUAUACAUUGAAGGUUGUAAUUGAUGCGAAACUUUAUUAUUGAGGUUAUUUAUAAAUUUCAUGAUACGUGACUGAGUUUUGGCGAAAGUUGGGCAGGCGGUCCACCAAAUCCUUGGGUACGCCCUAGGAGGUGUGACGGUCCCACUUCCGUCUAGGGUGUACUCUAAAAGUUAGUGGAUCGUCUGCCUAACUCUUGCCAGGACUCAUUAAUUUCAC